RNAcentral lists this ribosomal RNA (377 nucleotides) under uncultured bacterium. RNAcentral's name for it is "bacterial SSU rRNA". It matches the Rfam family "Bacterial small subunit ribosomal RNA", at positions 521 to 896 of the family's 1533-position model. The record is from RNAcentral.
UAAUACGGAGGGCGCGAGCGUUGUUCGGAAUCAUUGGGCGUAAAGCGCGUGUAGGCGGCUUGGUAAGUCGAGUGUGAAAGCCCGGGGCUCAACCCCGGAAGGUCGCUCGAAACUGCCUCGCUAGAGUCCCGGAGAGGAAGGCGGAAUUCCCGGUGUAGAGGUGAAAUUCGUAGAUAUCGGGAGGAACACCAGCGGCGAAGGCGGCCUUCUGGACGGUGACUGACGCUGAGACGCGAAAGCGUGGGGAGCAAACAGGAUUAGAUACCCUGGUAGUCCACGCCGUAAACGUUGGGUGCUAGGUGUCGCGGGUAUUGACCCCUGCGGUGCCGCCGCUAACGCAUUAAGCACCCCGCCUGGGGAGUACGGUCGCAAGGCUA